Molecule: long non-coding RNA, 691 nt
Organism: Osmerus eperlanus (European smelt)
Lineage: Eukaryota; Metazoa; Chordata; Actinopteri; Osmeriformes; Osmeridae
Exons: 3
Source: RefSeq, a predicted model, not a curated record
UGGUGACCAAUGUGUCCCCCAGGAUCGUACGAGGGACCACCUCGGGGCCCAUGUUUGGACCAGGCCAGGGCUCUUUCCUCAACAUCGAGCUGAUCAGCGAGAAGACGGCUGCCUACUGGUGUCAGAGCGUCACCGAGCUCAAAGCUGACUUCCCCAACAAUAUCCUUAUAUCCAGCAUCAUGUGUGGCUACAACAAAGCUGACUGGACCGAGCUUGCCAAGAUGGCAGAGCUCUCGCUACUCUCUCCUCCCUCGGUUGCCUCUUUCUCUCGCAGCUGUCUCCUCUCUUCCCUCCUUCUCUCCGUUUUUGCCUUCUGUUUCUCUCUCUUUCUCUCGACUUUAUGCUCUCUCUUCUCCCUUGCAUCCAUCUCUCUUUCUCUCUCUCCCCCAACUUUUUCCUCCCCUCCCUGACAUCUCUCUCUUCCUCUCUUGUCUCUCUCACCCCCCAACGUUUUCCUCCCCUCCCUCUCCUCUCUUCCUUUCACUCCUCGACAUCUCUCUCUUCCUCUUUCUCCUCGUGUUCCCCCAGCUUUCUCAUCUCCCUCCUGCAUCCUCUGCCCAGGGCUGGUGUGUCUCUCCUGGCCUCAGUCCUGUAAGGAUGGGGUCCGUAGCCACGGUCCUCCAGAGAGACUGACAGGCAGCACACAGACCCUCGCUUCCCUUAUCAACGUCCAGGCUUGCUAAUCCAUGAC